Non-coding RNA from Ictidomys tridecemlineatus (thirteen-lined ground squirrel), 69 nucleotides. The record is from Rfam. Lineage: Eukaryota; Metazoa; Chordata; Mammalia; Rodentia; Sciuridae.
GGGGUUGUGGCUCAGUGGAAGAGCACUUGCUUAGAAUGUAUGAGGCACUGGGUUCGAUCCUCAGCACCA